GCAGUGUCUCUUCUGCUGGAAGAAUAUAAAAUUUUAGAAUGCAAACUCUAGCUGCGCCGUACUCUCCAUGUGCACGUACUGCAUAGAAGUGGUUCCUUCUUAUAUGCAUAUGUCCAUAAGGCUGAAUUGUUUUGAGUAUUAGUUCCUGGUUUGAAGGCUGUUUCUUUCAGCUCUGUCAGAAAAUUUUCAGUACUGAAAUGAAUUCAGUUGUGGCGGAAUGAUGAAUAUCACUGCACAAGAAACAGUCCUGCUCAAACAAUGUCAAGGAUUCUUAUCAAGGUACUGUGUUGAGAUGACUGUCUCGGAUGACUCUGCUGUGUUUGUAGGUUUUGCGAUGCAAUGGAGAAAUAUUCCUGCUUCUGCAGUGUCACAAAAUGUGAAGAAUACCCGCAGAACAUGGCCAUUCCACAAUUCCUAAGGAAUAUUGUGGGGGAGGAACUUCACAUUAGACCUCAAGAUUUCUCAGUUCAAUUUUUCAUCUGAGCAACAGUUAUUUACCAUCACACACAAUUUUUUACCGCAACCAGCACCCACCACAUCCUAAUUUUGGUAUUUAGAAAGGUCAUGACAACGCAUGCAGUGAUAUCUCAACUCUUGGAGUUCAUAAUGCUAACCUGUGGUGUCAACUACCCUGCAGGCUCUUCUAUUUUAAUUCUCAAAUUAAUAAGUUUUCCAACAACUAUUUGUUUAUGGGUUUUUAAUCAUUUAGUUUUAAACUUUUAAAACAAUCAUUCAGACUCUUGCAAGAAAACUAUGUUCUCUGCUUCAGUAUUAUUGCUAUUGGGCCUAUAAAUUAGAUUGGAUCUUA
This is a long non-coding RNA of Brassica oleracea var. oleracea, 808 nucleotides long. RefSeq lists it as uncharacterized. The record is from RefSeq and is a predicted model, not a curated record. The transcript is spliced from 4 exons. NCBI's taxonomy places the organism in Eukaryota, Viridiplantae, Streptophyta, Magnoliopsida, Brassicales, Brassicaceae.